Long non-coding RNA from Medicago truncatula (barrel medic), 1683 nucleotides. RefSeq lists it as uncharacterized. The record is from RefSeq and is a predicted model, not a curated record. The transcript has 5 exons. Lineage: Eukaryota; Viridiplantae; Streptophyta; Magnoliopsida; Fabales; Fabaceae.
CUUCCUCUUCUUUUCUUCUUCCUUUUUACAACCCCAAAAUCUUUGUGGGUUUUGAUUUCCAAUUUCAGCUCACAAAAUCAAUGUUACAAUUCGAUUUUCAUUUUCGAAUAAAUUCUUACACGGUUUUAUGAUUUCAAUCUCUUCUAAUUUUGGUUCUGAUUCUGUGAAAAAUUGUUGAAUCCAAUGGUUUUCUUGCUGAAUCCUAUUGUACAAGUUGCUAAUCGUUCAUGACAAUGGUGUUUUGUGGUAGAGAGGGUUUUCUGUUUCUAGAAGCUUCUAUCAGAGUUUUUGUUGACAAUGUUGAAAUUAGAAAGGGGAUCAUAGUGGGGUUAAUGAAGGGAGGUAGGGUCUUGCUUGCUUGGCCAUCCAACAGAGUCUCAGCCUCAUUAACACAUGGAGGUUAAGACUGAACAAUGGCAGGAUUCGGUGGUUACGGAGGUGGUGACGGUGCCGGAAGUGGAACGAAGGUUUUAAAUGGUGGCUUUGACAAGCGUCGGUGGUGGAGUGGUGUGAUUCGCCGUAAAUUCGAACGGUUGUAUGAAGAUCAUGGUGUGAUUAAACAAGAACUCAUCAACUGUUGAUGACUCAUUUCUAUUUGUGCAAUUAUUAUAAAUAGGAUACUGCAUCUUUUGGGGGAUUAGAGGAGGGGUCACCGUGGUGCACAUCGGUCAUGACAGGAACCUUCGACAUUGAUUAUGAAUGGUAGUGCCUUCCUCUUAUUUGGAGUUAUCUUUUUGACUGGUUGGGUAAGUAUUAAUUUUCUUGUUUCUUUCUGACUGUAUUGAUACAUUGAGUUGGAUUUAGACAGGAUGAUUGACAAUGGUUGUUUAUGAUUCUUAGUAUCAUGUAUUUUUUUGAUGAAUGAUCAAAGUCUCAAGCAAUAAUGCGGUGAAAAACCAUGUUAACUGAAGAAGCUUGGUUCUGGAGCUUCUAUAGAUCGCGAGGAAACCAUCCACAAACACAUGUUUGGUGACGGAAAUACGCUACCAAACAGGGUUCAUUUGAAGUUGUCUACAAUAGAAGAAGUGAUGCAUUUGCUGCUCUUAAACGAUAUAACAAUGUGCUUUUGGAUGGAAAGCCCAUGAAGAUUGAGAUUGUUGGAACAAAUUCAGAAUUGUCUGUAACUGCACGGGUGAAUGUCUCUGCAAUGAAUAGGCAGAGGAAGAAGACUUUUGUAAUGACAAUUAAUUAGUUUGGUUAGCAUCAGUAUCUCUUAUAUGGUCUUUAAAUUGGGUUCUUAUGGUAAUGUGGUGGUGCUAUCAAGUUGUGUUGUCUUCAAGUCAUCCAAAGGUGUUGGUUGAGAUUUUGGUGAUAUAUCAAGUUAUUGCUUCUUAAAUGGAUCAUGAGGGUUUUAGAUGCAACAUCAUUCUAUAUUCCCUUUGUUUCAUGUUUCAAGCACAGGUACUGCUCUGCAUCUGUGUUGGGGGUAGCAGAGUUUGUGGUUACUAUUGGAUUGUGGGUAGCAGAGUUUGUCUACAAGGUUGGAUUGCUUGCAAUCUGUCCAAUUUUUUCAGCUUUGGUUCUGGUUAUGAAGACCGAAAAAUGUCGUGUUUUUUACUCUAUCUAUGUUGCUUAGUUUUCGGAUCUACUGCAGGAGGAUGUUCUUCAAAUUCAUUUUUGUUGUAUCUUCCUUUCUACUUAAUGUAUUUUUACAUUUGUGUUUAGAUUGGGGCUUUUGCUCUU